Molecule: long non-coding RNA, 1118 nt
Organism: Cervus elaphus (red deer)
Lineage: Eukaryota; Metazoa; Chordata; Mammalia; Artiodactyla; Cervidae
Exons: 3
Source: RefSeq, a predicted model, not a curated record
CGUGGCUGUGUGCGAGUUGCAGUGAGUGGGCCCACGCUCUGGCUGUCGGGCACGGCUCUUCCCUGCCGUGGCUUCUCUUGCUGUGGAGCACGGCCUCCAGGGCUGCAGGCUUCAGGAGUUGCAGCGCGUGGACUCAGAAGUCGGAGCUUCCAGGCUCUAGAGCGCAGGCUCGGUAGCUGUGGUCCACAGGCUUAGCUGCUCCGAGGCAUGUGGGGUAUUCCCAGGCAGGGAUCGAACCCGUGUCUCCUGUAUUUGAUCUAGAACUGUAAAAGGCGGUGAGAAAGCCAUCCCACGCAUUAAUGUGCUCCAGAACCAGGCACUUCCUCCCCUGGAUGAAGCGUCAGUGUGAAUGGUGGCCUGACAGGUGAUGAGAGGUGGGAGGAAGGAAUGAGACCAGGACAACACGGCUGGCACCUUCCGCCUGGGGGGGCUCGACCACACGCAUCUCCCAGGUCUGCAGAGGACGCGCCAGGCUUUGGCGACACAGACUUAACGGGGCACCUGGGCCCCGAGGACUUCACUGUCCAGGGAGGGAAGAAGACAGAAUUAAUGUCACUAUGGCGUGGGGAGGGCUCAGUGCAGAAGAAGGCGGGCCGUGACAGCACAGCGUGUGAGCCUCGGGAGACACAGGCAGGCCUGCUGGUCACCGGUUGCAGGUUUAAUUAUCGUGGCCUUUGUCUUGGCUGAGCUGUGGCAAACGCCUGUGCUGUUUGCUUUGUAAUUCGGGGCACAACGCUAAAGGCCUGAGGUCUGAGGUGCUUCCUGCAUGCGGGCAGGAAUUCACGCGUCAAAUGCUCACUUGCUGGGGGUGGGGGGUGGGGUCCCUGCUCGUUUCUGCAGAUGCUGAGGAUUGACGGUGUGGUGGCGUUUGGUUUCACCAUUAAACGGUCCUUACCACCUUCUGACGUCUUGGCUCCAUGUCUUUGGAUAACAGGUCCACAUACUGGAGAGGGAGGUCGCGUUACUCAGAGUCUAGAGAACUGAAAAACAAGAGUCUGGUGACCGUCUCUGGAGCCCCUGGGGUCUGGGCUCAAGCCUGGCCUGCCCCCUGCCCUUGGUGGACACCAUCACCCUCUUUGGCCGAGACUGGACACAGCUGAGACUCCUUUGGAACCCAA